CCUACGGGCGGCAGCAGUAGGGAAUAUUGCUCAAUGGGGGAAACCCUGAAGCAGCAACGCCGCGUGGAGGAUGAAGGUUUUAGGAUUGUAAACUCCUUUUGUUAGAGAAGAUUAUGACGGUAUCUAACGAAUAAGCACCGGCUACCUCCGUGCCAGCAGCCGCGGUAAUACGGAGGGUGCACGCGUUACUCGGAAUCACUGGGCGUAAAGAGUGCGUAGGCGGGGUAAUAAGUCAGAUGUGAAAUCCUGUAGCUUAACUACAGAACUGCAUUUGAAACUGUUACUCUGGAGUGUGGGAGAGGUAGGUGGAAUUCUUGGUGUAGGGGUAAAAUGCGUAGAGAUCAAGAGGAAUACUGAUUGCGAAGGCGACCUGCUGGAACAUUACUGACGCUGAUGCACGAAAGCGUGGGGAGCAAACAGGAUUAGAUACCCGUGUAGUC
RNAcentral lists this ribosomal RNA (440 nucleotides) under uncultured bacterium. Its description in RNAcentral is "partial 16S ribosomal RNA". It matches the Rfam family "Bacterial small subunit ribosomal RNA", at positions 338 to 795 of the family's 1533-position model. The record is from RNAcentral.